This 253-nucleotide ribosomal RNA is filed under the name uncultured bacterium. RNAcentral's name for it is "partial 16S ribosomal RNA". It matches the Rfam family "Bacterial small subunit ribosomal RNA", at positions 524 to 776 of the family's 1533-position model. The record is from RNAcentral.
UACGGAGGGCGCAAGCGUUGUUCGGAAUCACUGGGCGUAAAGCGCGUGUAGGCGGCUUGGCAAGUCGGGUGUGAAAGCCCGGGGCUCAACCCCGGAACUGCACUCGAAACUGCUUCGCUCGAGUCCCGGAGAGGGUGGUGGAAUUCCCGGUGUAGAGGUGAAAUUCGUAGAUAUCGGGAGGAACACCAGUGGCGAAGGCGGCCACCUGGACGGUGACUGACGCUGAGACGCGAAAGCGUGGGGAGCAAACAGG